This 117-nucleotide ribosomal RNA is filed under the name uncultured freshwater bacterium. Its description in RNAcentral is "partial 16S ribosomal RNA". The record is from RNAcentral.
GUACCGUCAUUAUCGUUCCUGACGAAAGAACUUUACACCCCGAAGGGCUUCAUCGUUCACGCGGCGUCGCUGCAUCAGAGUUUCCUCCAUUGUGCAAGAUUCCCCACUGCUGCCUCC